UAGGAUUGUACUAGAAGUCUGCAGGCUGACCGGCUUUUUGAAAGAAGAGCUGGAGGCAGCGGCCCAAGGUAUGAUCCAUGAUUGGGGUG
Molecule: ribosomal RNA, 89 nt
Filed under: uncultured bacterium
Lineage: Bacteria
Description: partial 16S ribosomal RNA
Source: RNAcentral